Molecule: long non-coding RNA, 326 nt
Organism: Musca domestica (house fly)
Lineage: Eukaryota; Metazoa; Arthropoda; Insecta; Diptera; Muscidae
Exons: 2
Source: RefSeq, a predicted model, not a curated record
ACAUCUUCUGCAUUACACACUACAUCCUCUUCUGAUCCUGCUGCUAAUACAAUGAGUGAAAAUAACUUAUUGGAGCAAUUUAUAGCUAUUGCCACUAGUGAUGUUAGCGAAGCAAAUGAUAUCGAAUAUGUAUCUGCUGACGAUGAUAAUCUCAUGGAAGAUGACGAUUCAGAUGAAGACAUGUUUUAUUACUUUGAAGACGAUGUAUCCCUCGAAUCGGAUGAGCCAGAUGAUUCAUUUUAUGACGAUGAAAUAUUUUAAUUGAAAUCUAGAGAAAUUGGAAUAAUAACGAGAACCAAUAAAAGAUAUAAUUAUUUUGAAAUUUU